GAUGAACGCUGGCGGCGUGCCUAAUACAUGCAAGUCGAGCGAACGGACGAGAAGCUUGCUUUUCUGAUGUUAGCGGCGGACGGGUGAGUAACACGUGGAUAACCUACCUAUAAGACUGGGAUAACUUCGGGAAACCGGAGCUAAUACCGGAUAAUAUUUUGAACCGCAUGGUUCAAAAGUGAAAGACGGUCUUGCUGUCACUUAUAGAUGGAUCCGCGCUGCAUUAGCUAGUUGGUAAGGUAACGGCUUACCAAGGCAACGAUGCAUAGCCGACCUGAGAGGGUGAGCGGCCACCCUGAAACUGAAACCCGGUCCAGACUCCUGGGGGGGGCAGCAGUAGGGAAUCUUCCGAAAGGGGCGAAAGCCUGACGGAGAAACGCCGGGUGGGUGAUGAAGGUCUUCGGAUCGUAAAACUCUGUUUUUAGGGAAAAACAUAUGUGUAAGUAACUGUGCACAUCUUGACGGUACCAAAACAGAAAGCCACGGCUAACUACG
Molecule: ribosomal RNA, 495 nt
Filed under: uncultured bacterium
Lineage: Bacteria
Description: partial 16S ribosomal RNA
Rfam family: Bacterial small subunit ribosomal RNA
Source: RNAcentral